Non-coding RNA from Mytilus californianus (California mussel), 72 nucleotides. The record is from the annotation of a RefSeq genome assembly. Lineage: Eukaryota; Metazoa; Mollusca; Bivalvia; Mytilida; Mytilidae.
GACUCCGUGGCGCAAUGGUUGCGCGUCUGAGUCCAGUUCAGAAGGUUACGUGUUCGAACCACGUCGGAGUCA